GGCCCCAGGCGCCGGCCGUGGGGGGCGGCGGGGGCCCCGCUGCCCCGCGAGGGAGCCGGGGGGCCGGGGCGAGGGAGGGCGUAGAAUAAACAGCAUCGUUGUCACGCAGGCAGAGCCGCCGGCUCCCCAAGCCUCCUCCCCGCGAUAACAACCCAGGUACACAGAUCGGUUUCUAUGAAAAUAGGAGAGCAGAGAGCGGCUCCAGUCCCUCCCGGCCCUUCCUUCCCAGCUGAAGCAUGACAUGGUUCUUUAUGCGCGCCCGACAUGGAGGCUGGGCGACCAGGAGAAGCCGGCUGAGCCCGGCUGUUUUUUACAGCAGGGCCCCCGGGUUCCCCCGGCCAGUGGCUCCCAGCCCUCAGUCCUUGGGGGUGCCGUGCCGCCCCCCACGCCCCCCGCCAUGGAGGCCCAGGCCCCAGCACAGAGCAGCUCCCCGGGAUGCCUCGGCCCCCCCGGGGGGCUGGUGCACACCCUGCCCGCCGGCCUCCCCCGCAGCGCGGCUGCUGCCCCCACGGGGUGCCUGCAGGCCUUACCCCCUCCCCCGGCAACCAAACACCCAGCCCCGAGCCGGCCCCUGGGCACAGGCCUGGCUCCUGGGGACUGGGAUUUCCUGAUUCCUGUACCCAGCCUCUUCCCUGCUGCCAACCCCUCCACCUUCCUUCUCGGCCUAAAAACGCAAAUAAAACCACACAGCCACAAA
Tyto alba (common barn owl) is the source of this 697-nucleotide long non-coding RNA. RefSeq lists it as uncharacterized. The transcript is spliced from 2 exons. Lineage: Eukaryota; Metazoa; Chordata; Aves; Strigiformes; Tytonidae. The record is from RefSeq and is a predicted model, not a curated record.